UACGUAGGGUCCGAGCGUUGUCCGGAAUUAUUGGGCGUAAAGAGCUCGUAGGCGGCUUGUCGCGUCGUCCGUGAAAACUUGGGGCUCAACCCCAAGCUUGCGGUCGAUACGGGCAGGCUCGAGUUCGGUAGGGGAGACUGGAAUUCCUGGUGUAGCGGUGAAAUGCGCAGAUAUCAGGAAGAACACCCGUGGCUAAGGCGGCUCUCUAGUACGGUACUGACGCUGAGGAGCGAAAGCGUGGGGAGCGAACAGG
Molecule: ribosomal RNA, 253 nt
Filed under: uncultured bacterium
Lineage: Bacteria
Description: partial 16S ribosomal RNA
Rfam family: Bacterial small subunit ribosomal RNA
Source: RNAcentral